ACACCUCAACUCUCGUGGUUUACCAUGAUGAGCUUGGACUUUGGGGGUCUUGCUGGCCUAUGGUCAGCUCCCCUUAAACGGAUCAGCUUGCCAGUGUUUGGUGGCAUCACAGGUGUGAUAACUAUCUACGCUUGUGGUUUUCCACCAGGUAACCUUCAGUGAUGAAGGUUCUCUGGAGCUCAUAAAUGUCUCUCCUCAGCGAGGACAGCUCUUUGAAC
This 218-nucleotide unclassified non-coding RNA is filed under the name uncultured Tomentella. RNAcentral's name for it is "sequence contains ITS2". The record is from RNAcentral. Lineage: Eukaryota; Fungi; Basidiomycota; Agaricomycetes; Thelephorales; Thelephoraceae.